AUGCACGCUGGCGGCGUGCCUAAUACAUGCAAGUCGAGCGAACAGACGAGGAGCUUGCUCCUCUGACGUUAGCGGCGGACGGGUGAGUAACACGUGGAUAACCUACCUAUAAGACUGGGAUAACUUCGGGAAACCGGAGCUAAUACCGGAUAAUAUAUUGAACCGCAUGGUCCAAUAGUGAAAGACGGUUUUGCUGUCACUUAUAGAUGGAUCCGCGCCGCAUUAGCUAGUUGGUAAGGUAACGGCUUACCAAGGCAACGAUGCGUAGCCGACCUGAGAGGGUGAUCGGCCACACUGGAACUGAGACACGGUCCAGACUCCUACGGGAGGCAGCAGUAGGGAAUCUUCCGCAAUGGGCGAAAGCUUGACGGAGCAACGCCGCGUGAGUGAUGAAGGUCUUCGGAUCGUAAAACUCUGUUAUUAGGGAAGAACAAAUGUGUAAGUAACUAUGCACGUCUUGACGGUACCUAAUCAGAAAGCCACGGCUAACUACGUG
Molecule: ribosomal RNA, 496 nt
Filed under: uncultured bacterium
Lineage: Bacteria
Description: partial 16S ribosomal RNA
Rfam family: Bacterial small subunit ribosomal RNA
Source: RNAcentral